AGUGAACGCUGGCGGUAGGCCUAACACAUGCAAGUCGAACGGCAGCACAGUAAGAGCUUGCUCUUACGGGUGGCGAGUGGCGGACGGGUGAGGAAUACAUCGGAAUCUACUUUUUCGUGGGGGAUAACGUAGGGAAACUUACGCUAAUACCGCAUACGACCUACGGGUGAAAGCAGGGGAUCUUCGGACCUUGCGCGAUUGAAUGAGCCGAUGUCGGAUUAGCUAGUUGGCGGGGUAAAGGCCCACCAAGGCGACGAUCCGUAGCUGGUCUGAGAGGAUGAGCAGCCACACUGUAACUGAGACACGGUCCAGACUCCUACGGGAGGCAGCAGUGGGGAAUAUUGGACAAUGGGCGCAAGCCUGAUCCAGCCAUACCGCGUGGGUGAAGAAGGCCUUCGGGUUGUAAAGCCCUUUUGUUGGGAAAGAAAAGCAGCAGGUUUAUACCCCGCUGUUCUGACGGUACCCAAAGAAUAAGCACCGGCUAACUUCGUG
RNAcentral lists this ribosomal RNA (492 nucleotides) under uncultured bacterium. Its description in RNAcentral is "partial 16S ribosomal RNA". It matches the Rfam family "Bacterial small subunit ribosomal RNA", at positions 29 to 507 of the family's 1533-position model. The record is from RNAcentral.